UAUGCCGAUUAUGUUUUCAGGGUUUUGCAGGGGCGCACUAAGAGGGACUUGAAGGGUUAAUUGAAGAGUAUAUUGAGGAGGGGAGUACUGUAGUUUCAGAUGCUUUUUCGUCAUACAGGGGUUUGGAGAAGAGGGGUUGAUCAGUUAGUUGUAAACCAUAGUUUAGAGUUUAAAAAUUGUGAAACUGGUGCAUGUGCUAAUGCAAUUGAGUUUUUUUUUUUAAUGUGCAGUGCCGGAAUUGGUUGGUGGUAAGUAGCAGAUUUCUGGGGUCUGUUGUUCAUGAGUUAUGAUGUUUUGUGUGUUUAUGGUGUAUUGAUUGUUUUUAAUUUCUGUGGGGAAGUUUGAUUUUAGGUUUUUCGAGGUGCUGUGGGUUUGGUUUUAUUUAUCACAGUUGCAGGUGUUUGUUUUUUGGUAUCAUCGGCUGUGGUUGACCUAUGUAGGUCAAGGGAAAUGUUUGGUUCCAAUUUUUGUCACCUGAUAUUGAAGCCAAUGAGUAUGUCGUGGCAAAAAUUAUUGUGGGCACAAAAUUUAAAGUUUGUUGCUGUAAGAGUAAUUUACUUGUCAAGAACUAUCACUAAUUGUCUGUGAAGUUUUUUGAAAUGUCUCAUUUUGGAUUUUAUAGAAGCAUUGUCAUGAAGUAUUGUCGUCUGGCAUUAUCAUGUGAGGGCAGUUCUAGGUAUUUGCAUGACAUCUUGUUGUUGCAGCUUGUGGUCAUUAGAGUAAAUGCUAAAUGUUCAUAUAUAGAGCACAUUAGAAGCCAACAUUCUGCGAGCGAAAGAUCAUGGAGGCAAUAAACUUUUGUACUUCUGUACAUUGUACCAAGCAGUAGCUGGCAGAAGGAAAAUGUUGAGGAAAUAUAUGACGCUCUACAAGAAACAAUACAUAUUUAUACAUGAUACUAUAGAUUGAACUUAUAGUUGUUCGCAUGUAGGUAACAAAUUAUUCAAUAAAAUACCACUAUUUGUCUAAGUAUUUACUGAGCAUGCUUAUAAACAUAAUGUGCUUGGCUCAUGCCUGCCCCUUCUGCAGUGUGAAGGGAAAAUGAUUAAAUGUAAUUGCAGUACUUAACCUACUCUUGUUUUACAGAGAGUAAUGUAACAUUUAUUGACAUUAUCUGUUGGUGUAAUGGCACCAUUUGCCCUAAUGACUUGGUAAUAAGGUUAUUACUGUUAACCUAUCCUUCAGGUAUGUCACAUGGAGCACUUAACUAAACAAACUUCAUUCUCAGCUAAAGUUUGAUGCAAGCUAUCGAACUGUUCACAUUCCACCGCCUCACGGAACCACCCACUAUAACUGUUUUGAAGCCAUAGUUGCUUACACCAUUCUCUCAGAGGUGGACGUGGGGAUGUAUUUGGGAGAGGAGUGAAACAGUCUGUCAGAACUAGUCAUACAGCAAAAAUUUGAGGGAGCCAUCUGGAGGUGGCAUUGAGGCAGCAACAACAUACAUCACAACCUGUCCGUGAUGCGCCCGGCGCCAUCACCACAUACAGUUCAAUUGUUGGCUACCCUCACCACACGUGGGGGUAUCAGAGACUCAGUAGCAGCAUCCGGGCCCAUCGUGGACGCCGUCCGUGUGUGUUGGACCAUCACAGGUGCAUUGGUCAUACAAUUUUGAUGCAGAAGUGAACCUGAAAACAUGAUAAAAUGUGGACGCCUCUGGAGAAACCUCAGUGUGUGUGGCCCGGUAGAUACAGACGAUACCUGAUGCCCAAAUGCAGCGAACCUUUCAGACUUGGAAUACAUCAUUUAUGGAAACAGGUCAUGCAAUUUUGAUGCGAAAUGGAACCUGAAAACCUGCUAAAAUGUGGAUACCAGUGGAUAAAGCUCAAUGUGUGUGGCCUGGUAGAUACAGAUGAUAUCAGAUACCCAAGUGCAAUGACCCUUUCGGACUUGGAAUACAUCAUUUAUGGAAACAAGUAGUGUUCUCCAUAAAAAUGGGCUGGUCACCCAUCGGUUUCAGAUGCCAAUGUGGACAGGGUACGGCAGGUGUUCGCAAGGAGUUCUAUAAAAUCGGCAUGUAUGGCAGCCAGAGAGUUGGAAAUGAGAAGAUCGACGUUGCACAAUGUCGUGCAUAAGAGUACUCACCAGACAUUUACAGUGGGGUGUGCAGUUGAGAACAGUUCUCCAUCUACUCCUCAGUGCUCACCAAAAUUAUCCAAAGUGGGGCACUAUGCCAAUUCAAAGAAGCAGGCCAAAGAUGUCCUGGUAAGCAGCACAUUGUCAAUGCUGCGAGACAAACAAACAGCAAUGAAUGGGAGCAAUGAGGAUGACGAGUUGGGCCAAUAUGUUGCAGCUGAGGUGAUUACAACUAAAAACAGAAAAUUGAAGGCAGAGACAAAGUGCCUUAUCACGAAUGCCACCAUGGGUGCAAUUCAGAAAGUUACUGAUUGUUAAUUUUUAAAUAAAAGAUUGAAAAU
Long non-coding RNA from Schistocerca nitens (vagrant locust), 2417 nucleotides. RefSeq lists it as uncharacterized. The transcript has 5 exons. The record is from RefSeq and is a predicted model, not a curated record. Lineage: Eukaryota; Metazoa; Arthropoda; Insecta; Orthoptera; Acrididae.